This is a long non-coding RNA of Haliotis rubra (blacklip abalone), 372 nucleotides long. RefSeq lists it as uncharacterized. Lineage: Eukaryota; Metazoa; Mollusca; Gastropoda; Lepetellida; Haliotidae. The transcript has 3 exons. The record is from RefSeq and is a predicted model, not a curated record.
AAGCUUAACAACGUAUACAACUACAAGCCUGGAAGCAUCACAGUGUAUGCCCUCAACUUGAAUAAAGACCCCGUACUCCUGACUAUAUCGGAUCUGAACAUCAAUAGCAUGGACAGAUUCUGGCUGACUCCGGACGGAGGAAACCUUACGUCAACAAAAGUCCAACUCAAUGGCAACACUCUGGAACUUGUCAAUAACCAAAUACCACACGUGAUGCCAAGAUCUUUGGGAAGUGGGACGAUGAAAGUACCCGGAAACUCAUUCGGCUUCAUCGUCAUCCCUGACGCCAACAUCGCGGCAUGUCAAUCACAAGGCCACGGUACCAUUGUCGGAUAGCCAUCUGAAAAUUUUAAUAAAAUGUUUACAAACCGC